RNAcentral lists this ribosomal RNA (494 nucleotides) under uncultured bacterium. RNAcentral's name for it is "partial 16S ribosomal RNA". It matches the Rfam family "Bacterial small subunit ribosomal RNA", at positions 28 to 523 of the family's 1533-position model. The record is from RNAcentral.
GAUGAACGCUAGCGGCAGGCUUAACACAUGCAAGUCGAGGGGUAUAACACUUCGGUGUUAGAGACCGGCGCACGGGUGCGUAACGCGUAUGUAAUCUACCUUUUACAGAGGGAUAGCCCAGAGAAAUUUGGAUUAAUACCUCAUGGUAUUAUGGAUAGGCAUCUAUUUAUAAUUAAAGAUUUAUCGGUAAAAGAUGAGCAUGCGUCCCAUUAGCUAGUUGGUAUGGUAACGGCAUACCAAGGCGACGAUGGGUAGGGGUCCUGAGAGGGAGAUCCCCCACACUGGUACUGAGACACGGACCAGACUCCUACGGGAGGCAGCAGUGAGGAAUAUUGGACAAUGGGCGCAAGCCUGAUCCAGCCAUGCCGCGUGCAGGAUGACUGCCCUAUGGGUUGUAAACUGCUUUUGUACAGGAAGAAACCCUUCUACGAGUAGAAGAUUGACGGUACUGUAAGAAUAAGGAUCGGCUAACUCCGUGCCAGCCGCCGCCGUAA